CCUACGGGUGGCAGCAGUGGGGAAUAUUGCACAAUGGGGGAAACCCUGAUGCAGCAACGCCGCGUGAGUGAGGAAGUAUUUCGGUAUGUAAAGCUCUAUCAGCAGGGAAUAGACAAGAAGUUACCUGAAACAGAAGCCCCGGCUAACUACGAGCAAGAAGCCGCGGUAAUACGUAGGGAGCAAGCGUUAUCCGGAUUUACUGGGUGUAAUGGGAGCGUAGACGGAAAGGCAAGGCAGAAGUGAAAGCCCAAGGCUCAACCAUGGGACUGCUUUUGAAACUGUCAAACUAGAGUACGGGAGGGGUAAGAGGAAUUCCUAGUGUAGCGGUGAAAUGCGUAGAUAGUAGGAGGAACACCAGUGGCGAAGGCGUCUUACUGGACCGAAACUGACGUUGAGGCUCGAAAGCGUGGGGAGCAAACAGGAUUAGAUACCCCUGUAGUC
RNAcentral lists this ribosomal RNA (441 nucleotides) under uncultured bacterium. Its description in RNAcentral is "partial 16S ribosomal RNA". It matches the Rfam family "Bacterial small subunit ribosomal RNA", at positions 338 to 795 of the family's 1533-position model. The record is from RNAcentral.